This 253-nucleotide ribosomal RNA is filed under the name uncultured bacterium. RNAcentral describes it as "partial 16S ribosomal RNA". It matches the Rfam family "Bacterial small subunit ribosomal RNA", at positions 524 to 776 of the family's 1533-position model. The record is from RNAcentral.
UACGGGGGGGGCAAGCGUUGUUCGGAAUUACUGGGCGUAAAGGGCGCGUAGGCGGCCAACUAAGUCGGAUGUGAAAUCCCCAGGCUUAACCUGGGAACUGCAUCCGAUACUGGAUGGCUUGAAUCCGGGAGAGGGAUGCAGAAUUCCAGGUGUAGCGGUGAAAUGCGUAGAUAUCUGGAGGAAUACCGGUGGCGAAGGCGGCAUCCUGGACCGGCAUUGACGCUGAGGAGCGAAAGCUAGGGGAGCAAACAGG